CUCGGCCCUCCCCGCCGCCGCUCGGCCCACUCCGUCAAUCCUCGGCAGCGCACACGUCCUCCCUCGGCCCUCCCCGCCGCCGCUCGGCCCACUCCGUCAAUCCUCGGCAGCGCACACGUCCUCCCUCGGCCCUCCCCGCCGCCGCUCGGCCCACUCCGUCAAUCCUCGGCAGCGCACACGUCCUCCCUCGGCCCUCCCCGCCGCCGCUCGGCCCACUCCGUCAAUCCUCGGCAGCGCACACGUCCUCCCUCGGCCCUCCCCGCCGCCGCUCGGCCCACUCCGUCAAUCCUCGGCAGCGCACACGUCCUCCCUCGGCCCUCCCCGCCGCCGCUCGGCUUUCCCCAUCAUCACUCGGCCCGCUCCGCCAAUCUUCGGCAGCGCACACGUCCUCCCUCGGCCCUCCCCGCCGCCGCUCGGCUUUCCCCAUCAUCACUCGGCCCACUCCGUCAAUCUUCGGCAGCGCACACGUCCUCGUUCGGCUCUCUCCGCCAACUCUCGCUUCUUUCCGACUUGCUGGACUCUUGGCCUCGAUCCAGGGAUCUAUGGCCCCAUUACUUGGAGACCGCGGGAUCCGGUUGUAUAUGGCAACACGUUUACAUUCAUGAGACGAUUUCCAGUGACUGACUGGAGCCCAGAGCAGAACAGGGCUCUGGUAGCUCCACCACACCCAACAGAGCCUCAGGCUGGAGAGAUCGCCACGGUGGGAGAAGAUUCAGAGUGCUGUUCCUGCUGGCACUUCUAUGAGCCCAGGUUCUCCAGGAUGGAAAGUCCUGCAGUGAAAUGGGUGCAUUUGACACCUGUCAGUGCUGAAGGUGAAAGUCUAUUCUGAGGAGGGGACAGCAAUGACCUUCACUGCUAACUUGGAGGACAGAGUGAAGAAGAUCAGUGAACAUGUCCGGGCUAAGACCAAGAUUCCCGUGCAGGACCAGGUCCUUUUGCUGGGCUCCAAGACCCUAAAGCCCCAAAGGAAGCUGUCAUCUUACGGCAUUGACAAGCAGACAACCAUCCACCUCACUCUGAAGGUGGUGGAGCCCAGUGACGAGGAGCUGCCCUUGGUUCUGGUGGAGUUAUGCAAUGAGGGGCAGAGGCACCUCCUUCAGGUGUGAAGGUCCAGCUCAGUGGCCCAGGUGAAACAGAUGAUAGAGACCAAGACCACUAUCAUGCCUGAGAAACAGACUGUGACUUGCAAUGGCAAGAGGCUGGAAGAUGGGAAGACCAUGGCAGACUAUGGCAUCAGAGGGGGCAAUUUACUCUUCCUGACAGCCCACUGCAUUGGGGGCUGAGCCUUCCAGGGAUGGGUGAGAUCAGGAGCAAAAGUGCUUACUGUUGGCUCUUACUCCACCCACAUGCCUUGAUGAUUUCCCAAAUUAACGAGAAAGAUAAACAGAAAAGGUUAAGGGUGAAGUAGGGAGGAAGACUGCAGAAAACUUUCUAACUCCAUGAUUUUUGGGUCUAACGUAAUUGAUUAGUGGCUGGAUUGUGCAUAUUACUGAAAACAGAAAAUAACAUUUUAAGGCACAGUAGAGAUAGCCUCAAGGCCAGCUUGCAAUGAAUUCCUUUCCUGGUUCCUUCUGAUUUUUACAAAAAUUCCUAUUUCCUCUUCUGUUCAACAAGUUAGUUUUACACCGCGAUCCAUGUUCCCCUCAUUUUUGUGUUUCCACCGUUAUAUUUCAUCUGUAAUAUCACUCAAAAUGUUGAAUCAAAUGGAAUUUCUGCUUAUAGAGAACAGAGAAAUGAUUUAUAUUGAAGUGAAGUAAUUCUUCUGAUAUGAUUACAAUCUCAUUAAAGAAUUUAGAAAAUCAGUUAAAC
This 1809-nucleotide long non-coding RNA is filed under the name Ursus maritimus (polar bear). RNAcentral describes it as "lncRNA (ENSUMAG00000019244.1)". Lineage: Eukaryota; Metazoa; Chordata; Mammalia; Carnivora; Ursidae. The record is from RNAcentral.